AGAGUUUGAUCCUGGCUCAGGAUGAACGCUAGCGAUAGGCCUAACACAUGCAAGUCGAGGGGCAGCACAUGAAGCAGCAAUGCGGAUGGUGGCGACCGGCGCACGGGUGAGUAACGCGUAUGCAACCUACCUACAACAGGGGAAUAACCCGUUGAAAAACGGACUAAUACCCCAUAAAACAGGGAUCCCGCAUGGGAAUAUUUGUUAAAGAUUUAUCGGUUGUAGAUGGGCAUGCGUUCCAUUAGCUAGUUGGUGAGGUAACGGCUCACCAAGGCAACGAUGGAUAGGGGAACUGAGAGGUUUAUCCCCCACACUGGUACUGAGACACGGACCAGACUCCUACGGGAGGCAGCAGUGAGGAAUAUUGGUCAAUGGGCGCAAGCCUGAACCAGCCACGUCGCGUGAAGGAAGACGGCCCUACGGGUUGUAAACUUCUUUUGUAAGGGAAUAAAGUGUAGUACGUGUACUAUUUUGCAUGUACCUUACGAAUAAGGAUCGGCUAACUCCGUGCCAGCAGCCGCGGUAAUACGGAGGAUCCGAGCGUUAUCCGGAUUUAUUGGGUUUAAAGGGUGCGCAGGCGGGAGAUUAAGUCGGCGGUGAAAUUUUGCAGCUUAACUGUAAAAGUGCCUUCGAAACUGGUUUCCUUGAGUGUAGAUGAAGUAGGCGGAAUUUGUGGUGUAGCGGUGAAAUGCAUAGAUAUCACGAGGAACUCCGAUUGCGCAGGCAGCUUACUAAACUACUACUGACGCUCAGGCACGAAGGCGUGGGGAUCAAACAGGAUUAGAUACCCUGGUAGUCCACGCAGUAAACGAUGAUUACUCGCUGUUUGCGAUAUACAGUAAGCGGCUUAGCGAAAGCGUUAAGUAAUCCACCUGGGGAGUACGUUCGCAAGAUGAAACUCAAAGGAAUUGACGG
RNAcentral lists this ribosomal RNA (915 nucleotides) under uncultured bacterium. RNAcentral's name for it is "bacterial SSU rRNA". It matches the Rfam family "Bacterial small subunit ribosomal RNA", at positions 8 to 916 of the family's 1533-position model. The record is from RNAcentral.